GACGAACGCUGGCGGCGUGCUUAACACAUGCAAGUCGAACGGUGAAGCGCCUUCCUUUUUGGUGGGUGUGGAUGAGUGGCGAACGGGUGAGUAACACGUGAGUAACCUGCCCCCUUCUUCUGGAUAACCGCAUGAAAGUGUGGCUAAUACGGGAUAUUCUGGGUCUGUCGCAUGAUGGGUCUGGGAAAGAUAUUGUUUCGGUGGGGGAUGGGCUCGCGGCCUAUCAGCUUGUUGGUGGGGUGAUGGCCUACCAAGGCGGUGACGGGUAGCCGGCCUGAGAGGGUGGACGGUCACACUGGGACUGAGACACGGCCCAGACUCCUACGGGAGGCAGCAGUGGGGAAUUGUGCACAAUGGGCGCAAGCCUGAUGCAGCGACGCCGCGUGAGGGAUGGAGGCCUUCGGGUUGUGAACCUCUUUCGCCAGUGAAGCAGGCCUGCCUCGUUUGUGGGUGGGUUGACGGUAGCUGGAUAAGAAGCGCCGGCUAACUACGUG
RNAcentral lists this ribosomal RNA (494 nucleotides) under uncultured bacterium. Its description in RNAcentral is "partial 16S ribosomal RNA". It matches the Rfam family "Bacterial small subunit ribosomal RNA", at positions 28 to 507 of the family's 1533-position model. The record is from RNAcentral.